Non-coding RNA from Russula ochroleuca, 122 nucleotides. Lineage: Eukaryota; Fungi; Basidiomycota; Agaricomycetes; Russulales; Russulaceae. The record is from the annotation of a GenBank genome assembly.
GCCCGCCUAGCUCAAUCGGAUAGAGCGUCAGACUCUUAUGGCAUGCUUCUUCGAUUGCUUAGUCGCAUCAUGGCUGCGAUAUGAAGAUCUGAAGGUUGCGAGUUCGACCCUCGCGGUGGGCU